Molecule: ribosomal RNA, 449 nt
Filed under: uncultured bacterium
Lineage: Bacteria
Description: partial 16S ribosomal RNA
Rfam family: Bacterial small subunit ribosomal RNA
Source: RNAcentral
AACGAACGCUUGCGGCAUGCCUAACACAUGCAGGUCGAACCAAGCCUUCGGGCUUAGUGGCGCACGGGUGCGUAACGCGUGGGAAUCUACCCUUCGGUUCGGAAGAACAGUUGGAAACGCGUGCUAAUACGUGAAGAUGCCGAAAGUCUAAAUAUUUAUUGCCAGAGGAUGAGCCAGCGUAGGAUUAGCUAGUUGAAGUGGUAAAGAUGCACCAAGGCGACGAUCCUUAGCUGGUCUGAGAGGAUGAUCAGCCACACUGGGACUGAGACACGGCCCAGACUCCUAAGGGAGGCAGCAGUGGGGAAUAUUGGACAAUGGGCGAAAGCCUGAUCCAGCAAUGCCGCGUGAGUGAUGAAGGCCCUAGGGUUGUAAAGCUCUUUUACCCGGGAUGAUAAUGACAGUACCGGGAGAAUAAGCCCCGGCUAACUCCGUGCCAGCAGCCGCCGCCG